Molecule: ribosomal RNA, 474 nt
Filed under: Cryptosporidium sp. shrew genotype II
Lineage: Eukaryota; Apicomplexa; Conoidasida; Eucoccidiorida; Cryptosporidiidae
Description: SSU rRNA
Rfam family: Eukaryotic small subunit ribosomal RNA
Source: RNAcentral
AUGAGUUAAGUAUAAACCCCUUAACAAGUAUCAAUUGGAGGGCAAGUCUGGUGCCAGCAGCCGCGGUAAUUCCAGCUCCAAUAGCGUAUAUUAAAGUUGUUGCAGUUAAAAAGCUCGUAGUUGGAUUUCUGUUAAUACUUGCAUGUGCUAUCUUCGAUACGCGUGUAAUAUUAGCAUCAUCCGCGUCACCUUGGGUGUGCGGAACUUUACUUUGAGAUAAUUAGAGUGCUUAAAGCAGGCUUUUGCCUUGAAUACUCCAGCAUGGAAUAAUAUGAAGGAUUUUUAUCUUUCUUAUUGGUUCUAAGAUAAAAAUAAUGGUUAAUAGGGACAGUUGGGGGCAUUUGUAUUUAACAGUCAGAGGUGAAAUUCUUAGAUUUGUUAAAGACAAACUAGUGCGAAAGCAUUUGCCAAGGAUGUUCUCAUUAAUCAAGAACGAAAGUUAGGGGAUCGAAGACGAUCAGAUACCGUCGUAGU